ACAUCGAUUCGACCGCGAAGGAAGAGCCGUGCACCGGUUUGACAGUCGAUAUAAUCGGAGAGUCCAAUCCGCGGAGGUGCGAACGAAACGAGUGGAACGGCUGCUCGACGGUGAACGGAUCGCGCGGCGCGUUCUGUCCGGUGCGCGAAUGUAAACGACGGCUCGCGGCGGCUCCAUCCGGUGGCGACGGUGGUCCGGGCAAUUAUUUACCUUGAAAAUACGCUUCGACGGGUGAGCAUUUCCGUGUUCCCCCGAGCGAGAGCGAGCUCGAAAUCAUGCAGAACUAUGGACACGAGGAUUACGACUAUGGUGUGUCGAACGACGCCCAGCCGUCGGGCAGAGUUCUCCCCCAGAUGCCGGGGGGCACCGCCAGGCCGAAGGUGGACCCGCAGGCCGAGGGUGAGGUCGAUCCCACCAUGUACCCCCAGCCGAAGGAGGCCACGCACAAGAUUCGCGGUAAGAGCGACAUCCUGGAGUAUCUGUUCGGCGCCGUCGACCAGGAGCUCCUCACCGUGAAGACCUUCUACUUUUUCUUCUACUCGGCCUUCGGCUCCCUGUUCCCGCUCAUGGGGGUGUAUUUCAAGCAGAUGGGCAUGAACGCGGGUCAAUGCGGCCUCCUCAUCGGUCUCAGGCCGUUCAUCGAGUUUAUGAGCGCCCCUUUCUGGGGCUCCUUGGCCGACAGAUGGCAAAAAGGCAAACUUCUCUUAUUGGCAUCCCUUUCUUGCUGGAUCAUUUUCACUCUGCCAUUGGGCUUCGUUCAGCCUCCACCCACCUCUUGCAUAGUCAAGCGAAACGAUACUCCUCCGAUCUACUAUCUGGAGGCAUCCAACAGGGAACAAAGAAUUGUAAAAAGAUCGACCGACCUGGAAGAAUUGUAUUACCCUCCAGAGAAUAAAGAGGAGUACCUGGAGGUCGCAUCCAACGUCGUCUUCGAGAGAUUACGACGAAGUACGGACGAUAACGAGAUAUAUGAUUAUAUGAAGAAAUCGAACCCGAAGGAAUUUAGUGCAGCAUUCGGAACAUCUUACGAUGUUGAGAGAAACGGUGUUAGAGAUUUCGAUAACGGCGGUUCUAUUAUGUACGAUUUGAGAAAUAACAGAGUCAGAAGACAAACGUCCGUCACAGAUAACGACGAUAUCGGAGAUCUCAGGCACAAGUCACUACCUGAAGGAAAUGUCGAUGCGAGUGGAAUCGACUUGGAAGCGUUGCAAACGAAAAAUCGUCCAGCCGAUGUAUUGGAGUACAAACGCUUCAUGAAUAAUGAACCGACGGCUGACAGAACAGUCCCGAAGAAGGCUUACGUUCACACGAAAACGCGGGUGAAGCCGCCACCAGAGAAGAUAAUGGUAAAACGAGACGUGGAGAAGCAAACGUUCUUGGACGAGGAUGACCUGAUCAAAGCCGAUGACAAUGAGGAAGAAAGCGAAAGAAAUAUGGAUAUGCCGUUGAUGAGGAGUCGAAGGAGCAUAAGAAUGCUUCACGGACCGAUUGGACCUCAGCUGUCUCCUCUAUCGGUUACAUACGCCGCGAAUUAUAACCAAAAGGAUAAUAAGGAAUGGGUGAAGCCGCUUUUCAGUUCCAUAGUCUACAGAUUACCGGAUAUUCAAAAAACAUUCUUCCUUCUGCUGUUGUUGGUAGUAGUCGGCGAAUUUUUCUCGGCGCCCGCGAUUACGUUAGCCGAUUCAGCUGUUAUUACUUUACUCGGUGAAGACGCCGACAGAUAUGGUCAUCAACGUAUGUUUGGAAGUCUUGGAUGGGGCUUGGCCAUGUUCUUCGUUGGAAUCGCUCUCGAUCAUAGCACCGCGUUCCCAGAUCACCCCUGUAAACCUGACGAGAGAGAGAAAAAUUACACGAUUUGUUUUGCGAUAUUCAGCGUUUUAAUGGGUGCCGCGUUGAUAACAGCAACGCAAAUUAAUUUUAAAUAUGACGUUGCUCCCGCUGAGCCGGAAGUAGUAAAACCUCCGGCUGAGCCAACGCGAGAAGAGCAACUUCAAAGUCAGUUAUCCCAGCAACUUAAUCUGCCUGGGCUUCAGGAUUCUUCCGCCGCUGUAGAUCCUAAGCCUCCGCCUCCCGAAGGGAAGACCAAGAUGUUCGCUCAAACGAUGAAGGAAAUACCGGAGUGGGUGACGGUAUUGAAGCAGUUCAAGGAUUUAAAAUGCGCGUCGUUCCUUUUCGUCGCGUGGUUCAUGGGAUUCGGCAUCGGAUUGAUUUUCACUUUCCUGUUCUGGCACCUUCAGGAUUACGGUGGUUCGCCGACUCUCUUCGGCGUUGCGUCUGUGAUCAAUCAUAUUUCCGAGAUCUUCGCGUAUUUCUUCAGUUUCAAACUUAUUCGACAGAUCGGGCACGUUAAGGUAUUGUGUAUGGGUCUAGGUGGAAAUGUACUCCGAUUUCUAUACAUAUCUUGGCUGAAAAAUCCGUGGUGGGUAUUACCCUUCGAGUUCAUUCAGGGUAUCACGCACGCGGCAGUAUGGGCGGCAUGCUGCAGUUACAUCGCUCAUAAUACACCGCCGCAGCUGCGUUCGAGCGCGCAGGGCGUUCUUCAGGGACUUCAUCACGGGCUUGGAAGAGGUUGCGGUGCGGUAAUCGGUGGCAUGUUCGUCGCAGCUUACGGUACGACUACGACUUUCCGAGCGUACGGUCUCAUCUGCAUCAUCGUCCUAGCGGUCUUCGUGUUCAUUAAUUUCUACAGAAAGGAUACCGGCUUCGUAUCCGAGCUGCCACAAACGGAAGAUCCGCAUCAAGUGGCCGAGGCUACCCACUUGGCGCCGCAUGGUGUACCGAGCAACGCGAUACCGCGUGCCCUGAGUUCCACGCGCUUGCACGAACUUGCUAAUCAAGAUGCUGGCUACGGGGCGACUUAUCAGACCGCUGGUGGAAAUCUCGCGGUACCCGGUGCUAACGGAGGCCCUGGCAACCCAACGAAUCCAUUCUUAAACGGCGGAGGUGGCGGCGAAGGUGGAUAUAAUUACGGUAUGACUGGCAAAGGAGAGGACGAGUAUAUUCGUAGGAGCUUCCAGAUCUACAGUGAAGUGGUGGGUAGGGAAUUCGAUGUCGUAAAACCAACUAUCCAACUACACGCCCAACAACCAUGCACCAAUCCCUUUCAUCAACACGACUACGACUGGUAACGACUCGAUCUCUCGCGAUGCCGCGGGUUGUUCCCCACGACUACGACACACUGAAAUGUGAACGGGAAGACAUUACUGAACAAAUAAUAAACUUAUGUCUGCUGCUUCCUUCUGCCUCGGUAAACGGAUAUUCACGAGAGUCUAGGGUAUCAGGGAAUUAGUGGUAAGACUAAAUCCAAUUAAUCGAAAGUGCCUAUCGAAAGUUUCCUGAUGCCCUGUGAUGCGACAUGUUACUUCUAUUUUUGCCCGACGGUUCUUCUUUUCGCCUUCCCGUAUGUACGAAUCAAGAAGGAAAAAGUAACCCAAUUUCGAACAAUGUCGAAUUUAUUCGAACAAACGUUGUUUGAUUAGUAAGACCACGCUUAAGAAAGUGUCCACAAGAGGCAACUUUCUAUUGUUCGCGCGAAUAUUUAUUUCUCAAAAUAUCCAGAAUAUAAUGGUAAGAAUAUAUAUGCAUCAGAAGUGUCAUGAAUAGAAGUUUUUAACGCGUUAUUAAUUUUCCUUAGAUUUAUCACGUUUGAGUCCUCAAAAUUCUAUUAGGAUUGAAUGAUAGUUUUCGUUUUUAGAGUUGUAUUAAUAACGUUUGUAUAACAAAAGCAAGUUAAAAUAUCUUUAUAAAGCAUUAUAUACAUUUAUAUUAUAUUGUAAUAUUAUUAUAUAAUUGUUUUACGUUGUUAUAGAUGUAUGUUAUAGAUUUAUAAAUACCGAUUACGUUUCAUAGAAAAAUAUUCAAGUAGCAAUUGGUGUUUGCACUAAAGCAAAAUAUCUAUAGCGCACUCACGUUUGAAAGAGUCAGUCAAAUGCACUUAAAAUGAUAAUCGUUAAGAAAAUGUAACAUACAAGAUUUUAACGAAUCGUGAGAUCUCAUCUAGACGAAACGCAUCUAAAAAUCGGCAGAAACUAAAUAGAAAAUUAAUAUAUAUAUAUAUAUACAAAAACCUGAGAGGCCUGCAAGGUUUGAUACGACAAAUACGAGUAUCGUAAUAGAUUCAUUGCUCUCUCAUCGGUGGCAUAAUUUAAAAGAAAAUGUACGCGUAUGAAGCUAAAUUAAUUGAAGAGACAACUCUUGCGUCACCUGUAAAUAUUCUACACGCUCUUAGGUAUAGACUCUACUAUUCACACUUGUUUUCUGUUUUCUAACAGAUUGUUGAUCGUUAUUUACAAUCCACGUUACGAGACUAUCCGCAUUAACUUCUUAGAAUCUAUUAUUAAAUGAACUCUAUCUAUUAAAUACUUUUAUUGUAUGUAUAAGGUAUAUGUUGUGACAACAUUGUAUAAUAUUGUUGAAAAAAGAAAAUGAAAAAA
Molecule: RNA transcript, 4433 nt
Organism: Wasmannia auropunctata (little fire ant)
Lineage: Eukaryota; Metazoa; Arthropoda; Insecta; Hymenoptera; Formicidae
Gene: jef
Gene name: major facilitator superfamily domain-containing protein 6
Exons: 12
Source: RefSeq, a predicted model, not a curated record